UUACGGCCAUAUAACAUUCAAACACCGGUUCCCGUACGAUCACCGAAGUUAAGCAACACGCUUCACUGCUCAGUACCUAGAUAGGUGACCGUUUGAGAAUACCAGGU
This is a non-coding RNA of Acanthosepion pharaonis, 107 nucleotides long. The record is from the annotation of a GenBank genome assembly. NCBI's taxonomy places the organism in Eukaryota, Metazoa, Mollusca, Cephalopoda, Sepiida, Sepiidae.